UACAGAGGGUGCAAGCGUUGUUCGGAAUUAUUGGGCGUAAAGGGCGCGUAGGCGGUGCGGUAAGUCUGCGGUGAAAUCUCCCGGCUCAACUGGGAGCUUGCAGGCGAAACUGCCGUGCUGGAGUGUGGGAGAGGUGCGUGGAAUUCCCGGUGUAGCGGUGAAAUGCGCAGAUAUCGGGAAGAACACCCGUGGCGAAGGCGGCUCUCUGGGACGGUACUGACGCUGAGACGCGAAAGCGUGGGGAGCGAACAGG
This 253-nucleotide ribosomal RNA is filed under the name uncultured bacterium. Its description in RNAcentral is "partial 16S ribosomal RNA". It matches the Rfam family "Bacterial small subunit ribosomal RNA", at positions 524 to 776 of the family's 1533-position model. The record is from RNAcentral.